GGAAAUUUAGGAUAAUUUUAGUCCAGAGAGCCUUCAAAGCUUAAAGCAGAAGUUAAAAUCUUCUAAUUUCCG
RNAcentral lists this transfer RNA (72 nucleotides) under Poropuntius huangchuchieni. RNAcentral's name for it is "tRNA-Trp". It matches the Rfam family "tRNA". Rfam says of the family: Transfer RNA (tRNA) molecules are approximately 80 nucleotides in length. Lineage: Eukaryota; Metazoa; Chordata; Actinopteri; Cypriniformes; Cyprinidae. The record is from RNAcentral. RNAcentral also lists the same sequence under 1 other name.